This 1024-nucleotide long non-coding RNA is filed under the name Bemisia tabaci. RNAcentral's name for it is "lncRNA ENSSSA1NGG002189". Lineage: Eukaryota; Metazoa; Arthropoda; Insecta; Hemiptera; Aleyrodidae. The record is from RNAcentral.
CAGCUUGGAUCCACUGCACACGGGUGCUCUUCGAUCCUCCUCGUAAACCGGGUCCCCAACAGUGACGAGUGCGCGUGUGACUCUUCCGAAAAGAAAACCGUGCGUGACGUAGACAAGAAAGUGCGUGACAGACGACUUCCAGUGCGUGACAGUUGAAAGUUCAAGUGCGGGAAAACCCUAGUGCACAAAGGAUUUACAGUGCCGCUGUGCCAGCGGAGCCUAGUUUCCGUCCAGGAGGAUAUUUCGAGUUGUCGGCGGAAGUGUUACUUGUUAAACGAGGGAUAACCCACGCACAAGUAUGGAUUGAGACCCGGGACUGAGUGAGUCAAAUUCCUUUCUUUCAAGCUUUUUCUGUUUUUCUCCAUCCUCCGACAGGCGAAACUCACCCUCGUUCUAUUUCACCUCUUCCUCGAAAUAAAGUUGGCACAGACUCUGCUGAAAGCGUCCCUCCAUCAGUCGGCUCCCAAUUGAGCUUUCCAAGAUGCGAAUGAAACGAGACCCUCGUAGGUCCGGUUAAAUUUAAAAUUGUCUAACGUUUCUAAAGUCGUUGUUACUUUUUCUUUUUCACUAGCCAAAGCGAAGGAAUAGCGGGCAUGAUCGAAUGACUAGUUCUUUAUGAAAACUAAGAGCAAUGGAAGUCACGGGGUUGCCACUGAGGUCCGAGCAACAACGGCGCGACGCUACCAACCUUAUCGUCAAGCACUUCAAGAAUCUCAAGUUCAAGAAAAAACUGGCAAAGCAUCAAAGACAAUGACACUUACUGUUCAAGAAGCGGGCUGACAACCUUCACCUGCGCCCGGCAUGCCGACAGAGGGCGCAAGCUGAUCGAAAUCAACCGGAACCCGUGCUCACAAGACACAGCGAGAGGUCCGCAUCACGGUAGCAGAGUGUGGUGAGCCUGAGCGUGCCCCAAGGCGAAUUCUGGAUCCACCGUGGUUAAGUCCUCAAAGAGCACCGCCGGGCGAUAGCAGCAGCGAAGGACUGAGCAACAAAGCACUGACCACUACGGGCACCGUAGCGAACU